UGGGUCUGAUGAUUUUAUAAUACUACACCAACUAUAAAAUAGAAGUCUGUCUGUCUGUUCUGCAUACGUUUAAUGUUGUUUUUUCAAGCUUAGAUUGUCUCAACUGAUUUCCGUUAAGUUUGAUAUUUAUAAAACAAAGAUCCUUGUUGAAAAAAAAACAUUGAUAAAAAAACGGCAGAAAAACAACUGACAUAUUCCUGACUUUAGCAUAGUCAUAUUCCUUAACUAAAUGGGGUGUUUAAUCUCGCUUUCUUUCUUGGAUAUUUAUUUGUCUAAAAGUCCAACUGAAGCAGUGAAAUACACAUGUUUAUUCACAGCAACGGUUCUUGAGCUUCAACGUUCGCUAUGUGAAGCAGUUAAAAUGCCAGUAAAACAGGUCGUCAUCGAUUUGAGAGUCAAAAGAUGGUUUGUAAUACCUGAUUCCAUAAAUCACUAGAUCAACUGCUCAAACGAAUGAUAAAGAACUAAUGUUUG
Molecule: long non-coding RNA, 474 nt
Filed under: Mytilus galloprovincialis (Mediterranean mussel)
Lineage: Eukaryota; Metazoa; Mollusca; Bivalvia; Mytilida; Mytilidae
Source: RNAcentral